This 1057-nucleotide long non-coding RNA is filed under the name Anas platyrhynchos platyrhynchos (common mallard). RNAcentral's name for it is "lncRNA (ENSAPLG00000025032.1)". The record is from RNAcentral. Lineage: Eukaryota; Metazoa; Chordata; Aves; Anseriformes; Anatidae.
UGUGCCCGUAGGAUGUAACCAUGCCAUGGCUUGUUCAGUUUGCAUUUUGUCACUGUGUUGUUUCAGGAUUACACAGGGAACUGGCUAGCACAGUGCCUGACGUAAGCUUAUCAGCAGCGUGCAGAGUUAACAACUGCAAACAAAACUCCCAACAUCUCAGUAGCAUUUCCCAAUUUCAUGAAGAGUUCCGUGACAAACCCGUGACUACACACGGCGCUGCGUGAUGACAGGCUCAAAUCAGAGUGAGCAGGGCAGGAGCUAAGGCUUUCCAUGGGAGCUUCCCCCUUCCUUUUGCACUGCUUUCACCAGCUCCCAAGCCCGUAAAUAACCUGUUCGUGUUGCCCUGAUGCUGUGUGAGGUGAGGGGGGCGUUGUCCCUGCAAGCUGCAGCCACCAGGUGCCACAGGAGCUGCCCAGGGAGGGCACCCCUGCGGCUCUCCUGGCUGUAAAACCAGCCCCGGGACCGGACCACCGAGCCCUCCUGUCCCCCGGGGCUGUGCCCGUGUGAGGUGUGUGGGGUCCGGGUGAGGUGCGCGGGUCCCUGAGGCGACCCCGGCCACACGCCGCAAAAUGGCGGCGGGGCCGGGCCGGGCCGGGCCGUGCCGCCCGUUGCUAGGCAACCGGCGGCCUCCUCGCCUCGCCGGGCCCCGGCGGCCGCCCUACUCUCACCCGCGGUCGGCCGCGCGCUCCCAUUGGCUGCCCCCGCGCGGCGCUCGGCUCCCAUUGCUCCGCCGCCGCCCGUGCCGCGUCCUCAUUGGCGCGCCGCCCUCUGGCCACGCCGCGUCACUUUCUCACACCAUUCCCCCCCGCCUCCUCCGCCGGCCCCGGCGCUCUCGGUGGGCGGGCCCCGGGGAGGCGGCGGCGCUCGUGAUUGGCCGGCGGCAGCUGCCACUCAGCGCGCGGGACGGAGCCCGGGCCGCGGGGCCGUUUAAAGGGGCCGCGCGCCGGCUGCCGCCGUUUCCUCUGGCCGGGCGGGCGGCAGCGGGCACCGGGCAGCGGGUACCGGGCAGCGGCAGCCACAGCCACAGCCAUCGCCUCGCGCAGGAUGGUGAACGCUG